AGAGCCACUGAGUUUGAGGCUGUAACAGCAGGACGGGGCUCUGAAGACCCCCCUCGCCCAACCCCCUCAUUUUACAGAAGAGGCAACUGAGGCCCAGAGGGGGAGAGCCCAGAGUGACAAUGCCAAUUAGGGCUAGGACUGGGUCCCAGGUCUCCAGCCACCACAGUGCCCUGCCUCUGCUAGAAUCAAAACCCACCCACCAGAGGACAUGCACUUGAGAACACACCCUUUAGCGCUUUCUGCUGUCAGUUACAUGGCUCACUCUCCAUUCACAGACAGAACAGAGGAAUUCACUGGAAAGGAGAACCACUUCACAGCAACGUUUUACAAGAAGCCUGAUGGUGGGAUGGAGCCCCUCAUUCAUAUUAAUGAGACAUGCAUGGAAGUGGCAAUGAGCAUGUGGAGUGUGGCUAAAAGAAAUGUGGUUCUUCACUUGGAGCUGAUGUGAAACACAGGCAAUCUGUUGGCCUACUGAGAGGAACUUCUUUUAAAAGCCAAGAACAAGAAUACCACCCGAAGACAUCUGUUCCUCUCAUCCUUUAGUGAAGUGCAGAUGGAGAUUCCUACGUGGUUUUG
Molecule: long non-coding RNA, 576 nt
Filed under: Pongo abelii (Sumatran orangutan)
Lineage: Eukaryota; Metazoa; Chordata; Mammalia; Primates; Hominidae
Description: lincRNA
Source: RNAcentral